AAAAAAAAUAUAUAUAUACACAUACACAAACCAAUUCCUGCUUUGAAUGCCAGGCUUUCAAGCCAGUAACUACUGACAGUUGACAGCCCCAGCCAGGCACUGCUCAGGGCAGCUCUUACCCAGGGAGAUGUGUAAAAGCUGCCCCCAAGAAGUCUCCUUUAUGUGCUAGGUGCCUAUGUGCUGGGCUUGUCAGGGAGGGCACAAUGGAAGUCACAGCAAAGACAGACAUCAGACAAGGUUUUCUUUGCUUUUCCUUUUCCAGUCUGUUCAAUAGGAUGCAAGAUCUAGACCUUGUCCCAUUAGUUCCCUAGACUAAACUACUCUGUAAUACCCGCAAAGAUGUGCUCUCUCCUGACUCCAUGCUCUUGACUUUGUACAUAGCCUUCUCUUGUUCCCAUGUCUCUGUCAGGAGCACCACCAUUCCCUCCAGCUUUGGGAGUACUCACUUCCUGUAAAAGAAUCGGUCCUUGGAAAGGAAAGAGUCUUUGCACUCUCUCUCUCUCUCUCUCUCUAUCUAUCUAUCUAUCUAUCUAUCUAUCUAUAUCUAAUCAAAUUUGAUAUGUCUGAGACAUGGAGCGGCUCAUGGCCCCUUUGGUCAUAAACCCUAGAAUCAGGGUUUGAGGACUAGGAUUGUGGACAUGCAAGGCUUAGGAAUGGUGGCCCUCAUGUGACCCGGACACUUGUUCAAAUCCUAGUUCCUGCUCUCACCCCCAGUGGUUCUGGCUCUAGAAUGAAGAGCCCCAGAUUCUAAGAAUUUAAGAAGCACCCCCCCUCAGGAACCCCACCAUAGGCAGAGAAUCACUGCUAAGUGUUAAAGGGCAUUUGAUUUUCACGCAAAAUCAAAAUUGCAAAAAUCAAUAGGUAAAGAUAGGGGCUACCGGCAUUUCCAGUCUUCCAGGAAAAAAAAAAAAA
Molecule: long non-coding RNA, 912 nt
Filed under: Rattus norvegicus (Norway rat)
Lineage: Eukaryota; Metazoa; Chordata; Mammalia; Rodentia; Muridae
Description: long non-coding RNA NONRATT028534
Source: RNAcentral